GCUUAGAGUUUGAUCCUGGCUCAGAUUGAACGCUGGCGGCAUGGCUAAAACAUGCAAGUCGAACGACAUAGUGGCGAAAGGGCGAGUAAUGCGAUCGAAUGUACCCCGAGGUGGGGGAUAGCGUCGGGAAACUGACGGUAAUACCCCAUGUGCUCGCAAGAGGAAAGCUCCGGCGCCUCGGGAGCAGCGAUCGUCCUAUCAGGUUGUUGGUGAGGUAACGGCUCACCAAGCCGAAGACGGGUAGCGGGUGUGAGAGCAUGACCCGCCGCAUCGGGACUGAGACACUGCCCGGACUCCUACGGGAGGCUGCAGUAACGAAUCUUCCGCAAUGGGCGAAAGCCUGACGGAGCAAUGCCGCGUGUGGGAUCAAGCGGUUACACCGUGUAAACCACUGUCAGGGUCGAGCACCACCGAGCAGACCCAGAGGAAGGGCCGGCUAAUUCCGUGCCAGCAGCCGCGGUAAUACGGAAGGCCCGAGCGUUAAUCGGAAUCACUGGGCUUAAAGCGUCCGCAGGCGGACCGGUAGGCAUCUUGUGAAAGCCCACGGCUCAACCGUGGAAUUGCAGGGUGAACCCCCGGUCUCGAGGCAGGUAGGGGUCAGCGGAACUAUGGGUGGAGCGGUGAAAUGCGUAGAUAUCCAUGGGAACGCCAAUGGCGAAGGCAGCUGACUGGGCCUGUCCUGACGCUCAGGGACGAAAGCGUGGGUAGCGAACGGGAUUAGAUACCCCGGUAGUCCACGCCGUAACGAUGCACACUAGAUCGGGGAGGUUUUCACGCCGUCCCGGUCGGAGCGAAAGCGUUAAGUGUGCCGCCUGGGGAGUACGGUCGCAAGGCUAAAACUCAAAGGAAUUGACGGGGGCUCACACAAGCGGUGGAGCAUGUUGCUUAAUU
Molecule: ribosomal RNA, 891 nt
Filed under: uncultured bacterium
Lineage: Bacteria
Description: bacterial SSU rRNA
Rfam family: Bacterial small subunit ribosomal RNA
Source: RNAcentral